Long non-coding RNA from Mytilus trossulus (common blue mussel), 248 nucleotides. RefSeq lists it as uncharacterized. The transcript is spliced from 3 exons. Lineage: Eukaryota; Metazoa; Mollusca; Bivalvia; Mytilida; Mytilidae. The record is from RefSeq and is a predicted model, not a curated record.
ACAAUUUUCAAAUAUGAAUAUCGUAUAUUUAUUAGUGUUUGUGUUUUGCUGUUCGGGACAAUGGAGCUACGGUAAAUUAUGUGGGGAAGAUUGUUGUGCAUUUUACUUUAAAAGCGAUGGAGCCUGUAAAGAAUGUCCAACUGGAACUGUAAGGUUAAGUGAGGAUGCUGAAGAUCAUUGUAAACCAUGUCAGAGGGGAUUUUAUGGAUACAGAUGCGUAAAUAUGUGCAAAUGUUCAAAACAUGAAA